UCGGGAAUAUUGGUCAAUGGGCGAAAGCCUGAACCAGCAACGCCGCGUGCACGAUGAAGGCCUUCGGGUCGUAAAGUGCUUUUCGGGAGGAUGAGGAAGGACAGUACUCCCGGAAUAAGUCACGGCUAACUACGUGCCAGCAGCCGCGGUAAAACGUAGGUGACAAGCGUUAUCCGGAUUUACUGGGCGUAAAGCGCGUGCAGGCGGCUUGGCAAGUCGGGCAUGAAAUCUCCUGGCUUAACUGGGAGACGCUGUCCGAUACUGCUAGGCUUGAGGGCAGUAGAGGGUGGUGGAAUUCCGCAUGUAGUGGUGAAAUGCGUAGAUAUGCGGAGGAACACCAGUGGCGAAAGCGGCCACCUGGACUGCAUCUGACGCUGAAGCGCGAAAGCUAGGGGAGCAAACGGG
This 405-nucleotide ribosomal RNA is filed under the name uncultured bacterium. RNAcentral's name for it is "bacterial SSU rRNA". It matches the Rfam family "Bacterial small subunit ribosomal RNA", at positions 355 to 776 of the family's 1533-position model. The record is from RNAcentral.